Molecule: ribosomal RNA, 492 nt
Filed under: uncultured bacterium
Lineage: Bacteria
Description: partial 16S ribosomal RNA
Rfam family: Bacterial small subunit ribosomal RNA
Source: RNAcentral
AGUGAACGCUGGCGGUAGGCCUAACACAUGCAAGUCGAACGGCAGCACAGUAAGAGCUUGCUCUUACGGGUGGCGAGUGGCGGACGGGUGAGGAAUACAUCGGAAUCUACUUUUUCGUGGGGGAUAACGGAGGGAAACUUACGCUAAUACCGCAUACGACCUACGGGUGAAAGCAGGGGAUCUUCGGACCUUGCGCGAUUGAAUGAGCCGAUGUCGGAUUAGCUAGUUGGCGGGGUAAAGGCCCACCAAGGCGACGAUCCGUAGCUGGUCUGAGAGGAUGAUCAGCCACACUGGAACUGAGACACGGUCCAGACUCCUACGGGAGGCAGCAGUGGGGAAUAUUGGACAAUGGGCGCAAGCCUGACCCAGCCAUACCGCGUGGGUGAAGAAGGCCUUCGGGUUGUAAAGCCCUGUUGUUGGGAAAGAAAAGCAGCAGAUUAAUACCCCGCUGUUCUGACGGUACCCAAAGAAUAAGCACCGGCUAACUUCGUG